Molecule: ribosomal RNA, 495 nt
Filed under: uncultured bacterium
Lineage: Bacteria
Description: bacterial SSU rRNA
Rfam family: Bacterial small subunit ribosomal RNA
Source: RNAcentral
AUGAACGCUAGCGGCAGGCUUAAUACAUGCAAGUUGAGGGGCAGCAUGAUAUACGCGAGUAUAUUGAUGGCGACCGGCGGACGGGUGAGUAAUAGGUAGGAGACCUACCUCAUACGAGGGGGAUAGCAUAGAGAAAUCUGUGGUAAUACCCCAUGAGGUUAUAUGAAUAGAGGCAUAUAAUCAAAGCAUAAGCGAUUAUGCGGUAUGAGAGGGGCCUACUGACCAUUAGCUAGUUGGUGAGGUAAGGGCUCACCAAGGCGAAGAUGGUUAGGGGUUUUGAGAGAGAGACCCCCCACAUUGGAACUGAGAGACGGUCCAGACUCCUACGGGAGGCAGCAGUAGGGAAUAUUGGGCAAUGGGCGAAAGCCUGACCCAGCCAUGCCGCGUGAAGGAAGACGGCCUUAUGGGUUGUAAACUUCUUUACUACGCGAAUAGAGGUUAGUACGAGAUACUAAUAGGAAGGUAGUGUAGUAAAAAGCACCGGCUAACUCCGUG